GCCUGAGUGGCUCAGUCGGUUGAGCACUGGACUUCGGCUCAGGUCAUGAUCUCGCAGUUUGUGAGUUCGAGCCCCACAUCGGGCU
RNAcentral lists this transfer RNA (85 nucleotides) under Felis catus (domestic cat). It matches the Rfam family "tRNA". From Rfam's summary of the family: Transfer RNA (tRNA) molecules are approximately 80 nucleotides in length. Their secondary structure includes four short double-helical elements and three loops (D, anti-codon, and T loops). The record is from Rfam by way of RNAcentral. Lineage: Eukaryota; Metazoa; Chordata; Mammalia; Carnivora; Felidae.